UGAGGAAUAUUGGUCAAUGGACGAGAGUCUGAACCAGCCAAGUAGCGUGCAGGAUGACGGCCCUAUGGGUUGUAAACUGUUUUUGUUUGGGAAUAAUCGACAUUACGUGUAAUGUUUUGCAUGUACCAUUCGAAUAAGGACCGGCUAAUUCCGUGCCAGCAGCCGCGGUAAUACGGAAGGUCCAGGCGUUAUCCGGAUUUAUUGGGUUUAAAGGGAGUGUAGGCGGUUGGUUAAGCGUGUUGUGAAAUGUAGAUGCUCAACAUCUGACUUGCAGCGCGAACUGGCUGACUUGAGUACACGCAACGUAGGCGGAAUUCAUGGUGUAGCGGUGAAAUGCUUAGAUAUCAUGAAGAACUCCGAUGGCGAAGGCGGCUUACGGGAGUGUUACUGACGCUUAAGCUCGAAAGUGCGGGUAUCGAACAGG
RNAcentral lists this ribosomal RNA (424 nucleotides) under Verrucomicrobiota bacterium. Its description in RNAcentral is "Verrucomicrobia bacterium partial 16S ribosomal RNA". It matches the Rfam family "Bacterial small subunit ribosomal RNA", at positions 355 to 776 of the family's 1533-position model. Lineage: Bacteria; Pseudomonadati; Verrucomicrobiota. The record is from RNAcentral.